UUUCCCCUUUCAAUUAGUGACAAAUUUCUACAAAGUGAUUUUCUUCCCAAGAGCUCCUGUUGCCUCAGGACCAGAGGAGACCCAGGAGGCUGAGGGCAGCUGGACGCUCUCACUGGGCUUCGCCACUGGGUGAUCACAUAGCCACGUGUGAGAGACCUAACCAAUUACGUCCCCGGAGGACGGAGGAUUUGCCUGAAUGGUGUGCUUACAGGUCUGCUCACCUGGAGGUGCUGGAGGUCAUCUUUGUCACCGCACACAGAGAGCCAGCCCAAGAAUGAUGCUGAUGCUGAGGAAGGCAGAACAAAGAGAUGGAGAGUGUCAUUUCCUGACAACAUCACUUAGGUACCUAGAUCCAGCUAUGCCUGAAUCCCAGUGGACUUUUCAGUUAAGAGGGCCAACCUUUUA
Lemur catta (Ring-tailed lemur) is the source of this 405-nucleotide long non-coding RNA. RefSeq lists it as uncharacterized. The record is from RefSeq and is a predicted model, not a curated record. The transcript is spliced from 3 exons. NCBI's taxonomy places the organism in Eukaryota, Metazoa, Chordata, Mammalia, Primates, Lemuridae.